RNAcentral lists this ribosomal RNA (253 nucleotides) under uncultured bacterium. RNAcentral's name for it is "partial 16S ribosomal RNA". It matches the Rfam family "Bacterial small subunit ribosomal RNA", at positions 524 to 776 of the family's 1533-position model. The record is from RNAcentral.
UACGGAGGGUGCAAGCGUUAAUCGGAAUUACUGGGCGUAAAGCGCGCGUAGGCGGUUAAACAAGUCAGAUGUGAAAGCCCCGGGCUCAACCUGGGAACUGCAUUUGAAACUGUUUAGCUAGAGUGUGGUAGAGGAGAGUGGAAUUUCAGGUGUAGCGGUGAAAUGCGUAGAUAUCUGAAGGAACACCAGUGGCGAAGGCGGCUCUCUGGACCAAUACUGACGCUGAGGUGCGAAAGCGUGGGUAGCAAACGGG